This 468-nucleotide ribosomal RNA is filed under the name uncultured bacterium. Its description in RNAcentral is "partial 16S ribosomal RNA". It matches the Rfam family "Bacterial small subunit ribosomal RNA", at positions 28 to 507 of the family's 1533-position model. The record is from RNAcentral.
GACGAACGCUGGCGGCGUGCUUAACACAUGCAAGUCGAACGGAAAGGCCCUGCUUUUGUGGGGUGCUCGAGUGGCGAACGGGUGAGUAACACGUGAGUAACCUGCCCUUGACUUUGGGAUAACUUCAGGAAACUGGGGCUAAUACCGGAUAGGAGCUCCUGCUGCAUGGUGGGGGUUGGAAAGUUUCGGCGGUUGGGGAUGGACUCGCGGCUUAUCAGCUUGUUGGUGGGGUAGUGGUUUACCAAGGCUUUGACGGGUAGCCGGCCUGGGAGGGUGACCGGCCACAUUGGGACUGGGAUACGGCCCAGACUCCUACGGGAGGCAGCAGUGGGGAAUAUUGCACAAUGGGCGGAAGCCUGAUGCAGCAACGCCGCGUGCGGGAUGACGGCCUUCGGGUUGUAAACCGCUUUCGCCUGUGACGAAGCGUGAGUGACGGUAAUGGGUAAAGAAGCACCGGCUAACUACGUG